GACGAACGCUGGCGGCGUGCUUAACACAUGCAAGUCGAACGGUGAUGCUCCAGCUUGCUGGAGUGGAUCAGUGGCGAACGGGUGAGUAACACGUGAGCAACCUGCCCCAGACUCUGGAAUAAGCGCUGGAAACGGCGUCUAAUACUGGAUACGAAACUGGCCCGCAUGGGCAUGGUUUGGAAAGUUUUUCGGUUUGGGAUGGGCUCGCGGCCUAUCAGCUUGUUGGUGAGGUAAUGGCUCACCAAGGCGACGACGGGUAGCCGGCCUGAGAGGGCGACCGGCCACACUGGGACUGAGACACGGCCCAGACUCCUACGGGAGGCAGCAGUGAGGAAUAUUGCACAAUGGGCGAAAGCCUGAUGCAGCGACGCCGCGUGAGGGAUGACGGCCUUCGGGUUGUAAACCUCUUUCAGCAGGGAAGAAGCGAAAGUGACGGUACCUGCAGAAGAAGCACCGGCUAACUACGUG
This 468-nucleotide ribosomal RNA is filed under the name uncultured bacterium. RNAcentral describes it as "partial 16S ribosomal RNA". It matches the Rfam family "Bacterial small subunit ribosomal RNA", at positions 28 to 507 of the family's 1533-position model. The record is from RNAcentral.